RNAcentral lists this ribosomal RNA (428 nucleotides) under uncultured archaeon. RNAcentral's name for it is "bacterial SSU rRNA". It matches the Rfam family "Archaeal small subunit ribosomal RNA", at positions 474 to 903 of the family's 1478-position model. The record is from RNAcentral.
UACCUGCAGCUCGAGUGGUAACCGCUAUUAUUGGGCCUAAAGCGUCCGUAGCCGGUUUGGUAAAUAUCUGGGUAAAUCGUGAGGCUUAACUUCACGAAUUUCGGAUAGACUGCCAGACUUGGGAUCGGGGGAGGUCAGAGGUACUCCAGGGGUAGCGGUGAAAUGUUGUAUCCUUGGAGGACCACCGGUAGCGAAGGCGUCUGACUAGAACGAGUCCGACGGUGAGGGACGAAGCCCUGGGGCGCAAACCGGAUUAGAUACCCGGGUAGUCCAGGGUGUAAACAAUGUGGGCCUUGUAUUGGAGGUCCCACGUGGGCGUCCAGUGCAGAAGAGAAGUUGUUAAGCCCACCGCCUGGGAAGUACGGUCGCAAGGCUGAAACUUAAAGGAAUUGGCGGGGGAGCACGGCAACGGGAGGAGCGUGCGGUUU